GUCCGGUCCCGGCCAGCAGCAUUCCGAAGGCGGCCCUGCCCUCCCCCCCACUCCCGGCAACGCCUCUACACCCGAGGCCUGGGGCCCCGGGAAGUUGGGGAGCCCCGGGAGAGGGCUAGGAAGUUCUCGGAGUUUGGGGGUUGCUGCGGACGCUGUGCCCCUCUCCUCCAGCACGCCCCCCAACUUAACCCCUUCCCUCCCGCGGAAGUAAGCUCUAGGCCACCUGUGAGGUUUGAACUCAUGACGCUGACAUCGAGUUGCAUAGUCCGCUGACUGAGCCAGCCAGAAAAGCCCCUGCCAUGAAUCCUUCUGAAAAGAUCACCAACACUUCACGGAGAGAGUGGAGGCAACAAGACCACAUUGGGACUCUACCUUGAAAAGGAAACGAAAAAUGAUGAAGAAAGACUAGCUUUAACUCACUAACACUAUUUAGAUUAUGAUUGCAACCAUGCAGACAUUAGAAUGAAGAGUUGGUCCUUUACUGAAACAGGGUCAUUUUUGCAAAUAUAUUUGAGAGUUUCACGUGCAAAUGUUGCUCUGAAUCCUUUGGUAGUCUAACAAUUCUCUCUGGAAGGACGCGAUCAUUUCUCUUUAGCCAUGUUCUCUUCCUCUGUGGACAGCUAUGCCUUCAUUUGUCCCAUGUCACUUUAACCAACUUCAUGAAGCCCUGCGCUUUUUGCAACAUUUGCAGUUUUGCUUGUCAGUUCAUUUGCUUCUUACUUGCGUGGUUAAAUGCUGAUGUCUGAUGGAGACAGAUUUGGGGAGAGGAUGUGGUGUUGGAGAGAGAUCUAGUCCGUAAAUGUUGCGAGGCUGGCCUUUGCUUUGCUUUGUACCUGGGCCUGUGAGAGUCAGUUACUAAGUACUCAGAGGACAGAGAUUCUCCCCCUCUUUUUUUAAAAAAAAAAGUGUUUAUUAUUUUUGAGAGAGAAAGACAGAGUGCCUGAGCAGGGGAGGGGCAGAGAGAGAGAGGGAGACACAGAAUCGGAAGCAGAAUCCAAGCUGUCAGCACAGAGAGCCCAACGCGGGGCUGGAACUCACAAACUGUUGAGACUGUGACCUGAGCCGAAGUUUGCUGCUUAACCAGCUGAGUCACCCAGGUGCCCCAAGACUUCCCCCUUUUAAACUUGAGGAAAUGCUCC
RNAcentral lists this long non-coding RNA (1139 nucleotides) under Felis catus (domestic cat). RNAcentral describes it as "lncRNA (ENSFCAG00000048674.1)". Lineage: Eukaryota; Metazoa; Chordata; Mammalia; Carnivora; Felidae. The record is from RNAcentral.